UACGGAGGGUGCAAGCGUUAUCCGGAUUCACUGGGUUUAAAGGGUGCGUAGGCGGGCAGGUAAGUCCGUGGUGAAAUCCCUCAGCUUAACUGGGGAACUGCGUCUGAUACUGGAUGGCUUGAGUUUGGGAGAGGGACGCGGAAUUCCAGGUGUAGCGGUGAAAUGCGUAGAUAUCGAGAGGAACACCGGUGGCGAAGGCGGCCUUCUGGACAGUGACUGACGCUGAGACGCGAAAGCGUGGGGAGCAAACAGG
This 253-nucleotide ribosomal RNA is filed under the name uncultured bacterium. Its description in RNAcentral is "partial 16S ribosomal RNA". It matches the Rfam family "Bacterial small subunit ribosomal RNA", at positions 524 to 776 of the family's 1533-position model. The record is from RNAcentral.